GGGUUGUGAGGUUAAGCGACUAAGCGUACACGGUGGAUGCCCUGGCAGUCAGAGGCGAUGAAGGACGUGCUAAUCUGCGAUAAGCGUCGGUAAGGUGAUAUGAACCGUUAUAACCGGCGAUUUCCGAAUGGGGAAACCCAGUGUGUUUCGACACACUAUCAUUAACUGAAUCCAUAGGUUAAUGAGGCGAACCGGGGGAACUGAAACAUCUAAGUACCCCGAGGAAAAGAAAUCAACCGAGAUUCCCCCAGUAGCGGCGAGCGAACGGGGAGCAGCCCAGAGCCUGAAUCAGUGUGUGUGUUAGUGGAAGCGUCUGGAAAGGCGCGCGAUACAGGGUGACAGCCCCGUACACAAAAAUGCACAUGCUGUGAGCUCGAUGAGUAGGGCGGGACACGUGGUAUCCUGUCUGAAUAUGGGGGGACCAUCCUCCAAGGCUAAAUACUCCUGACUGACCGAUAGUGAACCAGUACCGUGAGGGAAAGGCGAAAAGAACCCCGGCGAGGGGAGUGAAAAAGAACCUGAAACCGUGUACGUACAAGCAGUGGGAGCACGCUUCGGCGUGUGACUGCGUACCUUUUGUAUAAUGGGUCAGCGACUUAUAUUCUGUAGCAAGGUUAACCGAAUAGGGGAGCCGAAGGGAAACCGAGUCUUAACUGGGCGUUAAGUUGCAGGGUAUAGACCCGAAACCCGGUGAUCUAGCCAUGGGCAGGUUGAAGGUUGGGUAACACUAACUGGAGGACCGAACCGACUAAUGUUGAAAAAUUAGCGGAUGACUUGUGGCUGGGGGUGAAAGGCCAAUCAAACCGGGAGAUAGCUGGUUCUCCCCGAAAGCUAUUUAGGUAGCGCCUCGUGAAUUCAUCUCCGGGGGUAGAGCACUGUUUCGGCAAGGGGGUCAUCCCGACUUACCAACCCGAUGCAAACUGCGAAUACCGGAGAAUGUUAUCACGGGAGACACACGGCGGGUGCUAACGUCCGUCGUGAAGAGGGAAACAACCCAGACCGCCAGCUAAGGUCCCAAAGUCAUGGUUAAGUGGGAAACGAUGUGGGAAGGCCCAGACAGCCAGGAUGUUGGCUUAGAAGCAGCCAUCAUUUAAAGAAAGCGUAAUAGCUCACUGGUCGAGUCGGCCUGCGCGGAAGAUGUAACGGGGCUAAACCAUGCACCGAAGCUGCGGCAGCGACGCUUAUGCGUUGUUGGGUAGGGGAGCGUUCUGUAAGCCUGUGAAGGUGUGCUGUGAGGCAUGCUGGAGGUAUCAGAAGUGCGAAUGCUGACAUAAGUAACGAUAAAGCGGGUGAAAAGCCCGCUCGCCGGAAGACCAAGGGUUCCUGUCCAACGUUAAUCGGGGCAGGGUGAGUCGACCCCUAAGGCGAGGCCGAAAGGCGUAGUCGAUGGGAAACAGGUUAAUAUUCCUGUACUUGGUGUUACUGCGAAGGGGGGACGGAGAAGGCUAUGUUGGCCGGGCGACGGUUGUCCCGGUUUAAGCGUGUAGGCUGGUUUUCCAGGCAAAUCCGGAAAAUCAAGGCUGAGGCGUGAUGACGAGGCACUACGGUGCUGAAGCAACAAAUGCCCUGCUUCCAGGAAAAGCCUCUAAGCAUCAGGUAACAUCAAAUCGUACCCCAAACCGACACAGGUGGUCAGGUAGAGAAUACCAAGGCGCUUGAGAGAACUCGGGUGAAGGAACUAGGCAAAAUGGUGCCGUAACUUCGGGAGAAGGCACGCUGAUAUGUAGGUGAAGUCCCUCGCGGAUGGAGCUGAAAUCAGUCGAAGAUACCAGCUGGCUGCAACUGUUUAUUAAAAACACAGCACUGUGCAAACACGAAAGUGGACGUAUACGGUGUGACGCCUGCCCGGUGCCGGAAGGUUAAUUGAUGGGGUUAGCCGCAAGGCGAAGCUCUUGAUCGAAGCCCCGGUAAACGGCGGCCGUAACUAUAACGGUCCUAAGGUAGCGAAAUUCCUUGUCGGGUAAGUUCCGACCUGCACGAAUGGCGUAAUGAUGGCCAGGCUGUCUCCACCCGAGACUCAGUGAAAUUGAACUCGCUGUGAAGAUGCAGUGUACCCGCGGCAAGACGGAAAGACCCCGUGAACCUUUACUAUAGCUUGACACUGAACAUUGAGCCUUGAUGUGUAGGAUAGGUGGGAGGCUUUGAAGUGUGGACGCCAGUCUGCAUGGAGCCGACCUUGAAAUACCACCCUUUAAUGUUUGAUGUUCUAACGUUGACCCGUAAUCCGGGUUGCGGACAGUGUCUGGUGGGUAGUUUGACUGGGGCGGUCUCCUCCUAAAGAGUAACGGAGGAGCACGAAGGUUGGCUAAUCCUGGUCGGACAUCAGGAGGUUAGUGCAAUGGCAUAAGCCAGCUUGACUGCGAGCGUGACGGCGCGAGCAGGUGCGAAAGCAGGUCAUAGUGAUCCGGUGGUUCUGAAUGGAAGGGCCAUCGCUCAACGGAUAAAAGGUACUCCGGGGAUAACAGGCUGAUACCGCCCAAGAGUUCAUAUCGACGGCGGUGUUUGGCACCUCGAUGUCGGCUCAUCACAUCCUGGGGCUGAAGUAGGUCCCAAGGGUAUGGCUGUUCGCCAUUUAAAGUGGUACGCGAGCUGGGUUUAGAACGUCGUGAGACAGUUCGGUCCCUAUCUGCCGUGGGCGCUGGAGAACUGAGGGGGGCUGCUCCUAGUACGAGAGGACCGGAGUGGACGCAUCACUGGUGUUCGGGUUGUCAUGCCAAUGGCACUGCCCGGUAGCUAAAUGCGGAAGAGAUAAGUGCUGAAAGCAUCUAAGCACGAAACUUGCCCCGAGAUGAGUUCUCCCUGACUCCUUGAGAGUCCUGAAGGAACGUUGAAGACGACGACGUUGAUAGGCCGGGUGUGUAAGCGCAGCGAUGCGUUGAGCUAACCGGUACUAAUGAACCGUGAGGCUUAACCUUACAACGCCGAAG
This 2927-nucleotide ribosomal RNA is filed under the name Escherichia coli. Its description in RNAcentral is "23S ribosomal RNA". It matches the Rfam family "Bacterial large subunit ribosomal RNA". RNAcentral also lists the same sequence under 1 other name. The record is from RNAcentral. Lineage: Bacteria; Pseudomonadati; Pseudomonadota; Gammaproteobacteria; Enterobacterales; Enterobacteriaceae.